AAAUGAAACUGUCUAAAAUUACACAGGUGUGCAAGUGUGCUAACUUGAACAUGUUUCAAUAGAAUCGGUAACAUGUUUAAGACCUUCCGUAAAAAUAUCACAUUUAAUCAACACUGAAUGUAUUUUGUACAAACCAAAUGUAAUAAAAACUAAAACCUUUUUUCAUAUGUUUGAUUUGAACAAUAAAACUGGUCUUAUAUGUAUGAUUAUUGACACAAUAUAGUGCAUGUUUGGUUAAAUUGUGUAGACAGGGUACCUAACAGUUUUUCUUAUUUAUUUUAUAUUAAGCAAAAUGUUUCCAAGAUUGUCUAAGUAUUAUGCAAAUCCAUGGAAAUAAUUUGUUACAUUUAUUACAAUUAAUAUUUAUUAUUAUACCCAAGUAUUACGAACAAAAGCUAAAAAAUUUAAGAAUUUAUUAUAAUAGUACUGAGGUAUAAUUUAUUUGUUAGUUACCUAUUUAUUGUUGAACAAGUUUUUUUUAAUAAUAUUGCGAAAAAUAUGUUUGCUUUUUUUCAAUGCGCCUAUAGGACUGACCAUAGGAUAUAUAAAAAUAAAUAAUGAUUUAUAAUAAUAAUAUACUUUUAAUUUAUUACAUA
This is a non-coding RNA of Cinara cedri, 596 nucleotides long. Lineage: Eukaryota; Metazoa; Arthropoda; Insecta; Hemiptera; Aphididae. The record is from the annotation of a GenBank genome assembly.